GUGCACUGCAAUCGGACUAAGAUUUCAGAAGGAAGAUUCACUGCCAAUCUUUGAAGCAUGUCCGAAUUUCUAUCAUUCAGCAGCAUCUGAGAAGUUGAGAGACUUCGUCCGUGGCGAUACAUUUGAGUACAUAAUAGUGUCCGUUCUCCUGGUCAAUCUUGUUGCUGUUAUUAUUGAAACCACGCUCGAUAUUCAGAACAACUCAGGUCAAACCUUUUGGCAGAAGGUGGAGUUCACAUUUGGCUGGCUGUAUGUUAUCGAGAUGGCACUAAAAGUGUACACUUACGGUUUUGAGAACUAUUGGAGGGAUGGUCAAAAUCAAUUUGAUUUUAUCGUCACUUGGGUCAUUGUUAUUGGAGAAACAGCUACUUUUGUAGCCCCUGAUGAUCUGAC
Molecule: unclassified non-coding RNA, 393 nt
Filed under: Hevea brasiliensis (rubber tree)
Lineage: Eukaryota; Viridiplantae; Streptophyta; Magnoliopsida; Malpighiales; Euphorbiaceae
Source: RNAcentral